This 498-nucleotide ribosomal RNA is filed under the name uncultured bacterium. RNAcentral's name for it is "bacterial SSU rRNA". It matches the Rfam family "Bacterial small subunit ribosomal RNA", at positions 899 to 1397 of the family's 1533-position model. The record is from RNAcentral.
ACUCAAAUGAAUUGACGGGGACCCGCACAAGCGGUGGAGCAUGUGGCUUAAUUCGAGGCAACGCGAAGAACCUUACCUGGGCUUGAAAUCAUAUGGGCGUUCCAUGAAAGUGGAAUUUCCUUCGGGACUGUAUGACAGGUGCUGCAUGGCUGUCGUCAGCUCGUGCCGUGAGGUGUUCGGUUAAGUCCGGCAACGAGCGCAACCCGUAUCAUUAGUUACCAUCAGGUCAAGCUGGGGACUCUAAUGAGACUGCCCGUGUUAAGCGGGAGGAAGGCGCGGAUGACGUCAAGUCAGUAUGGCCCUUACGUCCAGGGCUGCACACGUGCUACAAUGGCCGGUACAAUGAGACGCGAAACCGCGAGGUGGAGCAAAUCUACAAAACCGGUCUUAGUUCGGAUUGCAGUCUGCAACUCGACUGCAUGAAGCCGGAAUCGCUAGUAAAGGCGUAUCAGCUACGACGCCUUGAAUACGUUCCCGGGUCUUGUACACACCGCCCGU